CUACGGGUGGCUGCAGUUAGGAAUAUUCUGCAAUGCGCGCAAGCGUGACAGAUUGAGCCAGAGUGCUUUUCAAUUGAAAAGCUUUUGUCAAAUGUAAAAAGUUUGGUGAAUAAGGACUGGGUAAGACAGGUGCCAGGCCGCCGCGGUAAUACCUGCGGUCCAAGUCGCAGCCAUUUUUAUUGGGUCUAAAACAUCCGUAGCUUGUUUGAUAAGUUUCUUGUGAAAUUCUAUAUCUCAAUUAUAGAGCGGGCAAGAAGUACUGUCAAGCUAGAGACUGGAAGACGUAAGAAGUACGUUUGGAGUAGCGGUAAAAUGUGUUAAUCCCAGACGGACUAACAAUAGCGAAGGCAUCUUACGAGGACAGUUCUGACAGUAAGGGAUGAAGGCUAGGGGCGCAAAACGGAUUAGAUACCCCCGUAGUC
RNAcentral lists this ribosomal RNA (422 nucleotides) under uncultured archaeon. Its description in RNAcentral is "partial 16S ribosomal RNA". It matches the Rfam family "Archaeal small subunit ribosomal RNA", at positions 323 to 746 of the family's 1478-position model. The record is from RNAcentral.